RNAcentral lists this transfer RNA (69 nucleotides) under Schistocephalus solidus. It matches the Rfam family "tRNA". Rfam says of the family: Transfer RNA (tRNA) molecules are approximately 80 nucleotides in length. Their secondary structure includes four short double-helical elements and three loops (D, anti-codon, and T loops). Further hydrogen bonds mediate the characteristic L-shaped molecular structure. tRNAs have two regions of fundamental functional importance: the anti-codon, which is responsible for specific mRNA codon recognition, and the 3' end, to which the tRNAs corresponding amino acid is attached (by aminoacyl-tRNA synthetases). tRNAs cope with the degeneracy of the genetic code in two manners: having more than one tRNA (with a specific anti-codon) for a particular amino acid; and 'wobble' base-pairing, i.e. permitting non-standard base-pairing at the 3rd anti-codon position. The record is from Rfam by way of RNAcentral. Lineage: Eukaryota; Metazoa; Platyhelminthes; Cestoda; Diphyllobothriidea; Diphyllobothriidae.
GAGCUUGUGGCUCAAUGGUAGUGCGUUCGACUUAAAUACGAAACGUCACAGGUUCGAAUCCCAGGUUUU